AUUGACAGGUACAAACCAUCAGCGGGGCCCCUGGUGAAGAUCCAACUACUGACUACAUGAAUGUACUAGGCAUGAUCUUCAGCAUGUGUGGUCUAAUGAUGAGAUUGAAGUGGUGUGCUUGGGUUGCGCUAUACUGCUCCUGCAUCAGCUUUGCCAACUCGAGAGUCAAUGACGAUACGAAACAAAUGCUCAGCAGCUUCAUGUUGUCCAUUUCUGCAGUUGUGAUGUCCUACCUUCAAAACCCACAGCCAAUGACACCUCCAUGGUCCAAUAUAUAAACAGUUCUAUAUUAUCGAUUGUUUUUGGUUGAAUGGAAAUGUAUAAUUGCCUCACCAUACUUGUAUUAAAAUUGUACUGCUGAAUACAGUGACAAUUUUAGUUUUAAUAAACUAGCUAAUGGUGCCAGGUUUGUAUUAUGAUGUGCAAUAUGGAACAGUGCCAACAUUUGAUGAUGUGCAUGAGUUACAAAAUGGCUUGGUUUGUUAAUCUUUUAAUUUGUGUAGCCUGCACUAUAUAAUUCUUGUGUUAUACUUCCCAUCCAAAAGUUUCUUGUAAGCAGCUUGUCUUUUUUUUUCUUUAACAAAUGGACAAAUUUGUAUUGUCCCAUAACAUUAUCAUGUCAUUCAUGUCAGUGUAAAAGGCAAUAGCAUGAAGGUCAAAGCUUGAAAUAUCCUGGAAUAUGAAGUACCAUACGAGUUGAUCCUCGAGUGACAACCACAUUAGUACAGUAGAUAGCCUCCAUAUUAGACAUAAAAGGAAGACUUGAUCACCACGUUAGAAAUAGAAGAGUGAAAGGGAAUUGGGAGUGGAAUGGUAGGCAGUCAGUAUGGGGGAAGGGAGACUUUUGGAGUACAGUACAGUACUGUCCAUUCAGUAGAGCCAGGCUGUCACCUGAUCGGAUGACAGGCAAAGUUAUCAGUCACUAGCACUGAUUUUAUAGUUUUCUUCGAGGUGACAUCAACUGCAUAAUAUCUUUUUGAUCAUGAAAUUACAUUAACUCCAACCAGUUACUGCUGGCUAAUAAUUCUUAGACAUAAAGGAAAGAGGACAAAUCAGAAGAGCAUGUUAAGAUAGGGCUACCUGAAUAGGUUUCAGUUGUGGUUACUCCAUCAGAGGGGCGUUCAUGGGGAUAAAGACAGAUUCUACAGUAAAUUGUUAAUUCCUCUUUUAGGACUGCCUCCUCUUCCAUUUUGCUUAGUUAUGCAAAGUUGUUGUUUUAUGGUUACAAAGGAAACAUAUCAUUCCUUAAUUUCUUAUUUUGACUGUAUCAGAAUUUAGAAUUUCUAAAAUAUAGUUACAGGUUGUAAGUACAGUAUGUAUAACAGUUUAUACAGUACUAUACUUAGUGUAUAAAAUAUAUAUUAAUGCAGGCCAUAUGUAUUAUUGUUAAAUAUGUACUUUUGUAUUUCAUAGUAAACCUUUUACCAUAAUAUAUAAUUAUCUUCUCCUUUCAAUAGUGCAUUUGUCAUGUUGAAUUAUAUGGUAUAUCAGGAUUUUAUCGGUACUACCUUGUUGACUGCGUGUUCCUCCCGUUACUAUACUGUAUACAGUAUCUCUCCUUCCCAUUACAGUAUUACGCUGAGAUGUAUCAGUAAGGUGGUUGGGCUCACUGCCUCAAGCAAAGAAUAUUCACUAUACAAUACUAUAUUGAAUAUAAAUUCAGUGGAUUUUGUACUACAUGGGAACCUGGUCCAAGAUAGGGAUUUUAAUCUAGCCAGUGACCUGUACAAUGAAUUUGGAAUCUAGAUAAUGCAGAAUUCCUCCAAGACUGAUAAUUUUAAAUUAAUAUUACUAAAAAAUUCAAACAGUGCUUUUUCCAUGGGAUUUCUGCAUCAAAUUAUGCACAAAUGUAUGUCCUAUCAUGUGCACAAAUAAAGGGUGAAUGCUGUGGAUCUUGUUGUCCAUUAAAAUCUGUACAAUAAAGCUUUCAGUCACAUGCCAUCCCUAAGGUG
Procambarus clarkii (red swamp crayfish) is the source of this 1952-nucleotide non-coding RNA. The record is from RefSeq and is a predicted model, not a curated record. Lineage: Eukaryota; Metazoa; Arthropoda; Malacostraca; Decapoda; Cambaridae.